GAUGAACGCUGGCGGCGUGCCUAAUACAUGCAAGUCGAGCGAAGCGGGGACGGGUGAGUAACACGUGGAUAACCUCCUAUAAGACUGGGAUAACUUCGGGAAACCGGAGCUAAACCGGAUAAUUAUAGAUGGAUCCGCGAUGCAUUAGCUAGUUGGUAAGGUAACGGCGUACCAAGGCAACGAUGCAUAGCCGACCGUAGAGAGUGAUCGGCCACACUGGAACUGAGACACGGUCCAGACUCCUACGGUAGGCAGCAGGGGGGAAUCUUCCGCAAGGGGCGAAAGCCGGACCGAGCAACGCGGCGUUAGUGAUGAAGGUCUUCGGAUCGUAAAACUCUGUUAGUAGGGAAGCGGUACCUAAUCAGAAAGCCCCGGCUAACUACGGGCCAGCAGCCGCGAUAAUAC
This 405-nucleotide ribosomal RNA is filed under the name uncultured bacterium. RNAcentral's name for it is "partial 16S ribosomal RNA". It matches the Rfam family "Bacterial small subunit ribosomal RNA", at positions 28 to 526 of the family's 1533-position model. The record is from RNAcentral.